This 475-nucleotide long non-coding RNA is filed under the name Selaginella moellendorffii. RNAcentral describes it as "long non-coding RNA (SMOE_LNC001368)". The record is from RNAcentral. Lineage: Eukaryota; Viridiplantae; Streptophyta; Lycopodiopsida; Selaginellales; Selaginellaceae.
UGGGGUCGAGUUUUAGGGCUCCAAUUUUAGGGUUCUUGCGCGCGAGCGAUGGCGCCGGGCGCUGGAUCAGCGGCCGCGAGAAGGAUUUUGGCGCGGGGCAUGGCGACGGUGACGGAGGAGGUGAAGCUGAGCAAGAGUAAGUCUGGGGAGUUUAAUCUGGUGACGUUUAUGGAGACGAGCAACAUACGCACAGUCAUGCAUCUGGUGCCGUUUGUGGGCGCCGUGGCUUUUGUCACGGCGGAGGCGCUGGAUUUCUACAGCCAGUGGAGUGCGAUCCAGCAGCCCAGCAGACACUAGAUCUCCUCUCUUUCUCCUCUCUUUCUUCUUGAAAUAAAAUGCCCCAAUUCCCAUCCAAAGCUUCUUGGCAUGGCCAUCUUUCUUCACAAUGAGACCUCUCUUUUGUGUCUCACACUUUGUUUCAGUGAAGAGAUUACAUUCUUGUUCCAUUGACUAUGUUGACUUAUUAUUGACUUUC